This is a long non-coding RNA of Triticum aestivum (bread wheat), 3070 nucleotides long. RefSeq lists it as uncharacterized. The transcript has 5 exons. The record is from RefSeq and is a predicted model, not a curated record. NCBI's taxonomy places the organism in Eukaryota, Viridiplantae, Streptophyta, Magnoliopsida, Poales, Poaceae.
ACAAAAGGACCUACAUCGGUUCAACCGCAGAAAGAUAACAAGUCCAUGAGAUGAUCUAUAAUUAAGUUCAAAAUUACUACAUGGUUAAUGUAUUUAACAUCAAGUCCAUGUAUUACUACAUGAGACUACAUCAGUUCUCAGGAAUUCUACUUCAGUUCAAUUUCUAAAUUUGGUUUAGUUCAAUUCAGUUCAAUAUAUUUGUGUCAAUUUCUUCUUGUGAUGCUUAUACAUAGCUGGAAAUGCAGAUGCUGUUGUUUUAGAAUUUAUCAUUUCGGUAUGGAAUUAGGUGCGGUGUAUAGUCACUGCUGUUUAUUAAGCCAGUUUGGUAGUACAUGAUAAAUACAUUAACCAUGCACCAGAUCCAGCGACCGGCGCUGCCCGCGCACCCAACAACCGGCGCCGCCCGCACAUCCAUCCUCCGGCGCCGCCCCCGAACCCAGCUACCGGCGUCGGCCCCGGACCCAACCACCGCCGCCGCCCUCGGACCCAGCCACCGCCGCCGCCCCCCGGACCCAGCCACUGCCGCCGCCCUCGGACCCAGCCACCGCCGGCGCACUCCGACCAGCCACCUCCGCCGCCCCCAAACCUAUCCACCUCCAUGGGCAACUGUUGCUGGCACUCUGCACCCACCCCCCUCCGCGCACCCAGCUCCCGCCGUCCGACGCGCUGCUUCCAACCUGCGCGGCCGGGAACCAGCCCCCGCCGCCCCUACGCACUACUUCCUCCCAUGCCCGUCCUGGUAUGGCGGUCACGCCAGUCCAGCUCUUCCUCCCUUCUCCGUCCGAGCUCUCCUGCCAUGCUCCUUCACGCACGAGCUUCUGCCGGCACCAGUGCACGCCGCUACACUGGUUCUUUUGGGGUUCAUUCAUCUGAUUUUAUUUUGUUUCCUAUUAUACUAGUUCAGAUGAGGUUCCUUGCUGCCUGAUGGAUAUUUGAUAAAGAAUUUCGAGGCGGACAAUUGCAAAAAUUCAGAGGAGACAACGCGGGAAGUUCAAAGAAAAUUCGGACUUGUGCAGUGGUGAAGGAGGAAGCAGCAGUGCCGCCGGGUCCAGGAUUCCAGCGCCCCAGCCGUUCAUUGCCACCAUCCUGGGUCGUUUAACAUGACAGCGCCAAGCCGUUCGAUGCCCAGCUCGGGAGGUGCUCGUCGCAGCUUUCCCCCCACCUCCCAUUGGAUGUUCAUGCUCCUUCUCUUGUGUACAUUCAGUUCAACAUCUGGUGGUUUUUCAGUUCACCUUAAAUGUGCAUUUUCAGCUUCAUCUUGCAGUGAAGAAGAUAUCCCUAUGAUACGUUUGUCACUCUGAUAGGUUCGUUCCAUCUCUUGGAGCUGUAUGGCUGACCAUUUUUGGUCAAAUUUGGCAAUUGUUAACUUAUGAAGCUACCGACUCAGGUGUUCAUUUCAUUGGUCAAUUGCUAGAUUUAGGCUUUGAGAUUACUGAGACAAUAAUCCAUGGACCAGUCUUCCAAUGUUAUCCUGUAGUUCAAUUAGUCUUGAGGUUAUUUAAUGUCUAGAAUGGGGUUUUGAUUGCUGCUGGUUGAACCUACAGACAACAUAGGUUUUGAUUGCUGCUGGUUUUUGUAUCUCAUGGUGGUUCGCACGUAUAAGAUGGGAUUUUCAUAGCUUUACAUUGUUGUUUUGGUUUGUGGCACAUAGAUGCUUUUGAAAAAUGUUCUGCACAUGUUUUGUUGGAUUCAGUUCCUCCCAAAAAAAGCACUACAGGAGGUUAAAACAACAUGGUUCUGCUUGCUUAUGUCAUUUUUCCCUUCACCGACAGAAAAACUAGUUCAACUGCAAAAGAAUACAUCAGUUCAACAUCCGAAAAACAUCAGUUAAAAAAAAACUUAAGUAUACGCCAUCAUGGAGCGCUUGCCUUCAAGAUUUAUCUCUUGUUCUUGUUUUUCCCUUUCCAGGUUUACGUUCUAGCAUAUCUUUUUCUCUCUUAUCAAUUACUCCCUCCGUAAAGAAAUAUAAGAGCGUUUAGAUUGCUACUUUAGUGAACUAAAUGAUCUUAUAUUUCUUUAUAGAGGGAGUACCUCAUCUAUCCUUCCUUGUAGAUGGAGAUGUGUGUAUGUAUACAUGUGUUAUGGAGAUAGAAGAACUUAUCUGGUGGUGUGUGUGCGCGCUGCUGCAUCCUCGUCCGGCCGCUCUAAUCCACACUCUCAGUACAACUUCCCUACGACCUCAUGUUCACAAAUCUUGUAGUACAUUUUUUUAAUAAAAAUCUUGUAGUACUAUGUAAACCAAGCGUGGCCAACACAUACUUUAGGUGUCGCGGUAGUACGCACUGUUGAUGGUGGCCUUCCUUUGUGGCGCUACUACUUUGCCACCUAGAGUAGUACUGCUACUACUUAUCAUGUUGCUAAAACCUAGCGAACAGUACAUGUAUUUGAUUAACGGUUCUGUAGGAAGAAAAAGUUCACUAAUAUAUAAUCUCUAGGUUUAUUAGAUUUUGUGUUAGUGCUUGUAACACAAUCAGUUUAGAUCUCCAUAGACCACAAGUUCAAGUUCACUAGCAUUUGUAAAUGCUGGUAGCAGUACUAGUAUUUACAAAUUUGUAACCUAAGAACUAAGCUUGCAUCUUGUUACUUCUAUGGAAGCAUUGACCUCGUAAUUUUAUUGUACGAACCACUAACAUAAGAAUUAGACAUGGUGCUCACUGUAUUCUCAAUCUUGGUUGUUCUUACAGUGCUUAUAAUCUUGACAUCUUUGAUGAAUCCAGCCCGAACUGAAGCAUGUCGGCAAGCCGGGCCUCAAAAGGCCCUUCUCCCGCUACUGCCUCGAUCUUGAACUGAUGUUGUUGUCAUCUGUCUACCUCCUCCCUUGGUUGAUGAAGAUGUUGAUUUUACAAAAGGAUCAGUGAAGCAUUGGGCAAUGGACACACUAUCUUCAUGAGAUGGUGUACUCCACGACAUACUUCCAUUAGUUGAAGAUGAUGCAUGGAGCAGUGACUGCUCAACACUUUUUUGUGAUAAAUGUUAUUAUGAUCUAUUCUAUGUAUUAUAUUGUAUGAUCGGGAGAACUCAGAAGUUCAUGUGUUGUCGGUGAAAAAUUUCAAAACAUUUUGUUUAGUAA